GAGGAGAGGAGGGAGAUGGCGGGAAAGGGGAAUGGGGAAGGGAAAGAGAUUGUGUGGAAAUUUAACUGGGGUCCUAGAGCCAUACUGUGAGGGAAAAAGGAAGGGAAGUGAUUCAUUUCCUUUACCAAAACCUUUAGAGGUUUUACCCCAGACAGCGGUGCCUUCCAUCUUUUCAAAUCCUAUCUAAUUUUGCAGGCGCAGUUUCUUUUGCAGACUACCCGCUCAGGUGGUUCUCCUGUGGGCUCUGUCACACCACGGUUUAACCUCGCCUUAGAUGCCCCUCCUUCAGGUCUCCUCCCAUUCCAGGGUCUCUGAGGGAACUCUUCUCCAGCACUGCUACUGGUUUUGAAUCUCAGAGGCAGCUCAGCUUGAGAUUCCAGAGCAAAGAGAAUUGGUAUAUCUGCCCCCUUAGGAAAUAAGGCGACCAUGCCUCAGCUCUGGAGGUACCCAGUCACGGUAAGAUCAACUGCCUAAACUCACUCAAAAUCAAACCCACUAAUUCCUUAAUAACCCUCCUACUCUCUCCUUUCCCCUACAAAAUGCCUAAUCUUUCUAGAGUAAUUUAAGGAGUUAGUGUUUAUGUUAUGAUGAGUGGUAAGUCCAAACGGUGCAUUCAUUCAUUCCAUUCUUUCAUACAUUCAUCAUAUGUGUGUAAGGAAGGCAUCACUGGAAUAUGGGAAGGCUUUUAAGAGCCAAAGGAAUCCGAUCAUGUGUCCCCCUCUUAAUAUCUCUGACCUUCACUUUCCUCACCUGUAAAAUAAGCAUCUUAUAAUGCCUCCUUCUAGUUAUUGUGAGGAUUAAAUGAGCUAACUAUAAAGUGAUUAUCCAUUUUCCAGACAUAAAAUAAAUGGUUCAUAAAUGUUCGUAGCUAGCUACUAAAUGCUAGCUAUGAUUUGGACAUAGGGACCAAAUGAGUUGAUUUCACCAGCUAGGAUCUUUUAUUUUGAAAGAUCAUCUAAAGAUGCAACUUGAAAAUUGUGUGUGUCUUGAGGGUAGGGAGUUUUGUCUGCUUUGCUCACUCAAGUAAUUAGAAAAGUGACUGAUAACAAAUACAUCUUGAAUGAAUGAAAGAUGCUUCAUGGAAAAUUAGGCAACACUAAAGCAAAUGUGAUAUCACUAAGAGGCACAUAAGGAUAGGAAUUAAUCUUAAAUGAUCACUGAAAAGCAUUCUUUUAUCAUAAAAAUUAGGAGAAAUGUAAGUAAUCUUAUCUCAAAGACUUAUGAGUGUAUCCUUAACAAAUUACAACAGAAAUAAUUUCUACAUAAUAAAGGACAAGCUGCCCUACUCACUAGUAGGGGCAUCUGAGUAAUGACUUAAUUCUGUUUGAUACUAAUGAGAAUGGCUAAAAUACAUUUCUGGAAAUAAACUCUAAUUUAACUGUAUUAUAUAAAUGGAUCCUGCCAGGGGCUGGGAUGUAGUAGGUUCAAUCCCCAGAAUCAUAAAUAAAUGAAUGAAUAAACAAAUAAGUAAAUCCAAGAGUUCAUUAACUAUGAAAAGAAGAUACAUAUACCCAUGCAAAGCCACUCCAGCUUGGAAGAAAACACCACAGGAACCUUAGAGGUCUAAAGAUAGACUGACAUUGUGUUCCAUUAACAACCAAAUUAAUGGCUACUAUUCAUUACUGUGAGAAGGAUGCCAGCUCACUGGCAGUGGUCUGCAUGCUGUUUUCCAGGUACUUCUUUAAAAAAAAAAAAAGUGCAUUUUCCUGUCCUUGGGUAGUCAUUUGGGGGUUUUGAAUAAUCUGUUAACAAUCUUCAGUGGUUUCCUGAGUGAUUUUGAAAAACCAGUAACUCAAAGCAGGGAUGGAAGGAAAUGAAGGGAAGAGAGGAGCUUUACUGGUCCUGUGAGAAACCUUCCAUCAUCUGGUUAUGUAAUUCUGCAAUGUUAUAAACAUUAUAGCAUCCAAAUUCUGGUCAAAUGUACUGUAAAACAAUUAGCAUUCCUCUAUAACCAAAUCCUCUACAACAUCUGACCUCUUGCAGGAAUCAGAUGUCAAAAAUUCACAUUUUUUUAAAGUAAAAGAGCAAAUAUGUUUUCUUGGUAUUCUCAGUUUGGACUCAUAUUUCAGGUAGACAACAUGAUUUACCUUCCUGUAAAACAGGCUUUUUAUCGAACUAAACCUAGAAGCAGUGCAAUAACCACCCUAUCCAUGUUUCAUGUAUCUGCUGAUGAUAAAACUUGCUUAUUUUAGGGGCAACAGAAAAAUUUACUACAACCAGGUGGGAAUAAAACUGUGUCAAGACAUUUGAAUUAUAAGGAUGAUAACUUAGGUGUCUCCAAGUGAUUCCAAAUACACAUACAUUUUCCUACCUUAUCUCUACGUGUUUUAUGUUUCUCAUUAAAUGUUCUCAGUAUCUUGCUGCACUAGUUUUGAGAAGGGGCCUUGUAUAAAUGAAAAUGUAUCAUAAAACCAUGGUGGAUAUAUGUCUUAUUUAUGUUAGAUAGAGCCACCAAAUGUAUAGCAAUUUGUUUGUAUCUUCCUUUUCUCCCCAGGUGGUGAUUACAUUAAGAAAUUUAUGUAGAGUAAAAUUAUUUUCACAAGAAGCAUUAAACAAUUCUAAACAUUAUUGUUGAGCACCAAAUCAGGUUUGCAUUUUCCCAGGUGGCUGAAAUUAUGUUGGCUAAAACUUCCUAAAAAGCAACUCCCAUUUAGAGAGCAAAUAAUUUUGUGCAAUUAAUUUCUUUUUAUUUUACUUCAAUCUUACUGUUUUAUUCUUUGUGAACACAUUAUUGUUUUUAGAGACAGUAAAACAGAAACAAAAACAAAUGAGUAUUACCUCUGAUGCAUACAAUUGUGUUAAUGUUAGUAGUAGAGUGUCAUUCAUGUAUACCAAAAUAAACUUUUUUCCCAGAAAAGGUGGAAUCUGAGAAAGACUCUGAAAAUGUGUUCAUUCCACAAAGUUUGAAACAGAAAUUUGCCUUUGAGGACCUUAUAUCCAAUCCAAAGACAACUUCUGACCAUUUAGUAUUGUGAGAUAUGUAGGUUGUGCUCAGUAUAGUAUUAUCUGCCAAUACUGUAUUGUUCUCCCUGGAAUUCAGCUAAAGUAACAUCACAUACCUGCCAUUCCCUUGGAGACUAGAAAAAUAAGAUGCCAUUCCCAGGAGAGCCGCCUACCAAGCAAGUACAGCAGGUUUUGCUUUUCCUCUGAUUCAUCACUAAUUUUCUUUUAAUCAUAAGCCCUAUGGCUAUUUGAAAAUUCAAAUUUAAAAAAAGAAAACCUUUUUAAACCUUGGGCACCAUUUGUGUAAUUUCAACCAUGACAUAUUAUUUCAUGGGUAUACUCCAGAAGUUCUAAUUCACUGCUUUUCAAAUGUUAAUGUGCAUGUGGUUCACCUAGAGAUUUUGUUAAAAUCAAAUUUUUAUUUAUUAGGUCUGGGAUAGAGCCUGAGAAGCUGCCUUUAUAGCAAGCUCCCAAGUGAUGCCAACGCUGUUGGGUACCAAGAUCCUAAGCAUUUCCUCUUGAAGAAUGGACAAAAUAUCAGGAAGGAGGAAUGGCACAAAAGAAACCAGAAAAUGCUAUGAACCAGGACAUUGUCCUCUCCACCAGCAUCAGUCCUUAAGCAUUUAACAACAGCCAAUUAUAAGCAGAUACCCAGAGAAAGAUUCAUCCUGGCAGAAGGACAUCCAGAUGAGCAACCUGAAUUGCAAGGGAGCUUUGCUUGUUUAUUCAGAAAGAAUACCAGAAUGUCUAUAACAUUUGUUCUCCAAAAUUCCAAACCAGCAGCAUCAACAUGGGGUGAGACAUUUUUGGAAUCGCACACUGGGAUGUCCCAUCCCAGACCCACUGAAACAGAAGUUCUGGGUAUGGGGCCCUAAGUCUGGUUUCCAAAAGCCCUCCAGGUGAAUGUUAUUCACAAGAAACUUUGAGACCUACUGAUCUACACAGAGCACAAUUAUCAAAUAGGAAAGUGCUGGGAGAUUAGGAAAUUAAUGAUGACUUAAUUGUGUAUAGUCCUACAGGUUUUGAUAGGGUCUUGUGAUAGUAAGAUUAUGUGUCAACUUGGCUAGGCCACAGUUCUCAGAUAUUUAGUCAAAUAUUAUUCCAGAUGUUCUCCAAGAGUGUUUUUGGAUGAGAUUAAUAUUUAAAUCGGUAAAGUAUAUUGCCCUUCAUAUGGUGGGUGAUCCUUAUCCAAUUAACUGAAGGCCUGGAUAAAACAAAGGACUGAUUUUGCCCUAUCAUGAGGAAAUUCAGCCAGCAGAUAGAUUUCCAUUCUUACCUGGAUCUCCAGUGUGACAGUCUACCCUACAGGUUUUAGAUUUGUGGACAACCACCAUGAUCACAUGAGCCAAAUCCUGAAAAUAAAUCUUUACACACACACACACACACCAUGAUCACAUGAGCCAAAUCCUGAAAAUAAAUCUUUACACACACACACACACACACACACACACACACACAAAUUGUUCUGUGGUUCUGUUUUUCCAAAAAGGUAGUACAUGAUCUAAAUGUUUUACUCCCAAGUUUGUAGGGAGGGGUUGUUGAAAAGGAGGCUGCUAUUACCCAACAUAUUUUCAAAGCAUCCCUGUAUAACUGGGGUCCUUUGGCCCAAGGGCAAGGUCGAAUCUUCAGCCCUUUUGUGUACAGCCAGGAGCUAAGAAUGGUUUUAUAAUUUCAAGAUAUUAUUAAUCCACACACACACACACACACACACACACACACACUAACACGCACACAAACAUUAAAGAAAAAAAAGUAUGUCUCAGAGACUGUGUUUGGGGCCCAGAAUAUGUACCAUCUGGUCUUUUACAAAAAAGAAAAAUAUCUGCUGAUUCCUUUCCUACAACAUCAUGUGCUUCCUUAUAUGAAGCACUAACAUACAAUAUGGCUUCAAUGCCAUUUUUUUUGCCUUAGGAUUUAACCCAGGGCACUUGACCUCUGAGCCACAUACUUAGCCCUUUUUAUUUUUUAUUUUGAAACAGGAUCUCACUAAUUUGCUUAGGGCCUCCCUAAAUUGCUGAUGCUGGCCUAAAAUUUGCGAUCUCCCUACCUCAGCCUCCCGAGUCACUAGAAUUAUAGGUGUACACCACCACAGGUUGUACUUCUGUUCCAUUCUUGCCACCAAUACACAAUUUGAAUUUAUCAUAAAGAAACAUCAGAAAAUUUAGAUUGAAGGAAAUUCUGUAAAAUAACUCACCAGUCCUCUUCAAAAGUGUCAAGACCAUGAAAAACAAAGAUUGGUGAAUGGUUCAGAUUAAGAUACAUUUAAAGAGAAAAAAAAAACAAUCAAAUGCAGUUUAUAAUCCUAAAUUGGAAACUUGACCAAGAACAGAAUAUUAUUGCAACAGUUGGUAAAAUUUAAACAAGGUGUAUAGAUUACCUAACAUAUUAUCAAUAUUAAUUUCCUAGUAUUCAUGCUUCAUCUAAAAAUUAAUAAUGUGUCAGUACUUUGAGAAACCAAUGAAGGGAACACAAGAAUUCUUUAUAUUAACUCUGCAAAUUUUUUCACUAAAUUUUAUAUCAUUUCAAUGAGAAGUUUAAAAAUAACAGUCUCUAAAAACAAAGGUGAAUAGUUAGUUACUCUUUGGACAGUGUAGCAGAAAAGCAUAUUCUUUGAAGACUAUAGCAGAGCAUUAUAUUGGCUUAGAUUCAUCCAGAAGCAUAGAGGGCCUAGAGAGGACAAGUAAUGGAUUUAAUUGGGAUAAUAUCUGAAGUUAAAGCUGAUAUAACUUGACUGCAUUAGAAUUCUCUCUUUUAUAAAUGAGAGUCCUCCAACUGGACCUACUGACUCUCAUAACAGGAUGACAGGCAUGGCUGGAUUCCACAGCUCAAAUACCAUCAUCAUGCCCUCUUCCUCUGUCUGUUUCUGCUUUUCUUUAUAUUGACAUAAAUCUCAGGUUGCUCACAGUAUUUUCAGGCUUAUAACCUUACAGGUAGCAAGAGGAAAGAGGGUUUUUCUUUUCUAAGUGGUCAAACAUGAAUUUCAGAAUAAAGUAAUGAUCCUAUUCCCAUUGCUGGACCAGCUUCUUUGCAGAUUUGUACUCAGAUUUCUAGUAUUAAAUCAUCUGAUCAUGGCUAAAGCCAGGAAUGGAUGGACUCAUCUUUACCUGAAACUCAAUGAAGACAUGGAUUAUUUCCUAAAAGAAAGGGUGCUUCAUGUGGAAGGAGGUGGAGGUAGAGAAGAUGCAGUUAACCAAAGUCCAAUCUGGUAAUGUAGUUAGUACAAGUAUUUUAGUAUUUGAGGACAAAUUCAAGUGACCUGAUGGUGAAUAAAUGUGUGCGCAAAUGAUCUAA
Long non-coding RNA from Ictidomys tridecemlineatus (thirteen-lined ground squirrel), 6234 nucleotides. RefSeq lists it as uncharacterized. Lineage: Eukaryota; Metazoa; Chordata; Mammalia; Rodentia; Sciuridae. The record is from RefSeq and is a predicted model, not a curated record.